This 384-nucleotide ribosomal RNA is filed under the name uncultured bacterium. Its description in RNAcentral is "partial 16S ribosomal RNA". It matches the Rfam family "Bacterial small subunit ribosomal RNA", at positions 355 to 749 of the family's 1533-position model. The record is from RNAcentral.
UGGGGAAUAUUGCACAAUGGGCGAAAGCCUGAUGCAGCAACGCCGCGUGAGGGACGACGGCCUUCGGGUUGUAAACCUCCUUUAGCAAGGAAGAAGCGAAACGUGACGGNACUUGCAGAAAAACGCGCCGGCUAACUACGUGCCAGCAGCCGCGGUAACACGUAGGGCGCAAGCGUUAUCCGGAAUUAUUGGGCGUAAAGAGCUCGUAGGCGGUUUGUCGCGUCUGCUGUGAAAACCCGAGGCUCAACCUCGGGCCUGCAGUGGGUACGGGCAGACUAGAGUGCGGUAGGGGAGAUUGGAACUCCUGGUGUAGCGGUGGAAUGCGCAGAUAUCAGGAAGAACACCGAUGGCGAAGGCAGAUCUCUGGGCCGUAACUGACGCUGA